Nicotiana tabacum (common tobacco) is the source of this 769-nucleotide non-coding RNA. Lineage: Eukaryota; Viridiplantae; Streptophyta; Magnoliopsida; Solanales; Solanaceae. The record is from RefSeq and is a predicted model, not a curated record.
UUUAAAGCCAUGUGAUCAACUUUCCAAUUAGUGGCGGUAAAAUGGUUAAAAGAAAAUAAUUAUCCACCCAUAUUAUGUGGAAAAGCAUGUGCUUGCACAAUGAAAUAUAUGCCCGUGACUAUUUCUGAAACUUGCGAAUUUACAAGUUGGCUUUUGACCAUUUGCUGAGUAUAAAAGUUGUAGAUUGGAAGCGUAUUGGCGAGGUUGUUGUCAUAGUCUCUCUCAUGUUCAAAAGUGUGAAGUUUUAUAAUGAAGUAUUUUGCUAUGACCAGUUCGGAGACUUGCUUUAUGGUGUGACAGUCUCUGGUCAAGGCUUUGCAUGGGACGUUUUGUUCUACAUACAUUUGUUGUGGUGCAUCUACCUUACCAAUAUAUUCUGGAGUCUUGUUUUGAUGUUGCUUGCACUUGGCUAGUAUUGUCCGAGGUCUGUGUCAGUGGGGUUUUGGCCUUGAAGUUGUGCAUUGGUUGUAUUGCAUCUACAUUGCCAGUAUAAUCUGGAGCCAUUCUUGGGCGUUAUCAGCUGCAGUUUUCUAUAUUCUCCUACUGUUUUUUCAGUUUAGGGCUCUUUUUUAAGGAUUAAAACUCCUCUUGGCUUGCAUUGUAUUUAGCACUAUUUCUUCAUCCAUCUGCUAGAGGUGCACCUAAUUUUAUUUUUCAUAGCAUGCUCUGUGACUGAUAUUUGGGACAUUGUCUCCUCGUUGUGCUGUUUUCUGAUUGGGAUUAUGUUUGAUGUAAUGAAUUUUAUGGCCAUGCCAAUUUUUCAUCGUUC